This 501-nucleotide ribosomal RNA is filed under the name uncultured bacterium. Its description in RNAcentral is "partial 16S ribosomal RNA". It matches the Rfam family "Bacterial small subunit ribosomal RNA", at positions 30 to 523 of the family's 1533-position model. The record is from RNAcentral.
AUUGAACGCUGGCGGCAGGCUUAACACAUGCAAGUCGAGCGGGGGAAGGUAGCUUGCUACUGGACCUGGCGGCGGACGGGUGAGUAAUGCUUAGGAAUCUGCCUAUUAGUGGGGGACAACAUCUCGAAAGGGAUGCUAAUACCGCAUACGUCCUACGGGAGAAAGCAGGGGAUCUUCGGACCUUGCGCUACUAGAUGAGCCUAAGUCGGAUUAGCUAGUUGGCGGGGUAAAGGCCUACCAAGGCGACGAUCUGGAGCGGGUCUGAGAGGAUGAUCCGCCACACUGGGGCUGGGACACGGCCCAGACUCCUACGGGAGGCAGCAGUGGGGAAUAUUGGACAAUGGCGGGAACCCUGAUCUAGCCAUGCCGCGUGUGUGAAGAAGGCCUUAUGGUUGUAAAGCACUUUAAGCGAGGAGGAGGCUACUCUAGUUAAUACCUAGGGAUAGUGGACGUUACUCGCAGAAUAAGCACCGGCUAACUCUGUGCCAGCCGCCGCAGUAA